UGAAUGGAAAAACGGAAAGUAGCUAUCUUUAACAAGUUAUUAAAAAUUACUUAAUGAGUGAAAAUUCUCAUAUAUAGAAAAAAGACGAGAAGACCCUAGAAAUUUUUAUAAAGUGUAUUAGAAUUAAUAUUCUAUUUUGUUGGGGCGACAUAGUAACACUUAACUUACUAUAUAUUAAUAUGCUAUUUAUUAGUCGAUAGAAUAAAUUACUCUAGGGAUAACAGCAUAAUUCUUAUAGAGUUUGUGACCUCGAUGUUGGACUAGGAAAUAAUUUAUUUAGAAGGUAAAUUGUUUGGCUCUGUUCGAGCCUUUCCUCCUACAUGAUCUGAGUUCAAACCGGAGCUCCA
RNAcentral lists this ribosomal RNA (347 nucleotides) under Trochulus sp. 2 MP-2005. RNAcentral's name for it is "partial 16S ribosomal RNA". Lineage: Eukaryota; Metazoa; Mollusca; Gastropoda; Stylommatophora; Hygromiidae. The record is from RNAcentral.